Molecule: long non-coding RNA, 690 nt
Filed under: Mustela putorius furo (domestic ferret)
Lineage: Eukaryota; Metazoa; Chordata; Mammalia; Carnivora; Mustelidae
Description: lncRNA (ENSMPUG00000030394.1)
Source: RNAcentral
AGCCAGCGCCGGGCGCUGAGGUUGCAGAGGGGGAGAGGCUUCCCCUCGCCUCAGCCUAUCCCAGGCCUCUCUUCCGGUGACAUCACGUCUCCUAGCAACCGCGGGACGGUGGGCGGGGCCGGAAGUAGGGGAGUCGGGUGCCCCAGAUCCCGGCCUCGGAGAAAUGCGUUUUUGUCGCCGGCACCCACUGAGGAGCGGACAGAUUAUAGACUGUUUGGAUGUUGGCAGGAAAAGUCUCGAAGAGUUUGGGGAACUGUAGGAGAGUCGUCCCUGAGAACAAGAAAGGGGAUGGAUCCAGACCCAUGCGGAGGAGUUGGCAGCAUUGAAAUGCCCAUGAGGACAGAAUUUCAGUGGACAUGUGAUGGAGAGGAAUUCAGUGAGACUCAAAGCAAGUACAAGGUGUUGAGUCCUCAUGGCACUCAUCAGAAAUUACCAUAUGUGUUUCUGUCAGAGUUCUUUCCCAGGGAAACUGACGUCCACCAGCUUUUGGAGACCCAGAUUUGAAGAACCGUCCUAUUAAUAUUUUAGUAUUUUUAUGUCACUCAGAGGACUAUUUUAUUUGCCUGAUCUCAGGAAGAGAUAAUUUUUGGUUGAUCUUUUUGUUUGUUUCACAUCACAAUAGAAGAGUAUUUUUGGAAAAUGUGAAAAUAAAUAAAACCCAGAACUCCUAGUUUUAAAAUGUGUUGCCAG